AUUUCUAGGCAUGAAUUUUAACUUGUAGAUGAGCUCUACUGCAGGAAUGAGAAAUGCAAGUGUUUUGCCACUGCCUGUUUUGGCAGCUGCUAAAAUAUCCCUCCCUUCCAGUAGAGGUUUAAUACUUUUAUGCUGGAUUUCUGUCAUGUGUGUAAAGCCCAUAUCACUGAUGCCUUUCAAUGUAUUCUCACUGACGAGACCAGCAAGGGAAGUAAAAGAAUUGUCUUCAAAGGCACCUGUCAGACCCAGAGGUAAACUGGGUACCUCGUCCUCCUCUUCCGCUUCUUUCUCUCCUGUAUCCUGCCCAUCUUCAUCUUCUGCCUCCACAGAUACGUCUUCUUCAGCUUUUGCUUUCUUAGUUUCUGUACCUCCCUCGGGGCCAGCAGCAGCUUUCCUUUUCUUCUUCUUCCUCCUCUUCGCCCCAACGGCCUCGGGGCCCGGCGCUGCCUGCUCGCCCGCCUCUGUCUCUGCCUCCGCCUCGGGGGCCGCCGCCUCCUUCACCUCCUCGUCCUCCUCCGGGGGACCGAGCGAGGCCUGGCCUUCCUGCUCGGCAGCCCGCAGCUUCAGGUUGCGCUGCCGCAGCUUCAGGUUCCUCUUGUGGAUCUUCUUGCGGAGCAGCCGCAUGGGCAGGUUGCCCGCGGCCACCGACACCGACAUCCCGGCGGCCCGCUCCUUGCCUCCCUCAAUCACACGUGGAGACGGCAGCGCCGGCCCAGCGACACGCAUCCGGGCCGCGCC
RNAcentral lists this long non-coding RNA (738 nucleotides) under Gallus gallus (chicken). The record is from RNAcentral. Lineage: Eukaryota; Metazoa; Chordata; Aves; Galliformes; Phasianidae.